AGUGAACGCUGGCGGUAGGCCUAACACAUGCAAGUCGAACGGCAGCACAGUAAGAGCUUGCUCUUACGGGUGGCGAGUGGCGGACGGGUGAAGAAUACAUCGGAAUCUACUUUUUCGUGGGGGAUAACGUAGGGAAACUUACGCUAAUACCGCAUACGACCUACGGGUGAAAGCAGGGGAUCUUCGGACCUUCGCGAUUGAAUGAGCCGAUGUCGGAUUAGCUAGUUGGCGGGGUAAAGGCCCACCAAGGCGACGAUCCGUAGCUGGUCUGAGAGGAUGAUCAGCCACACUGGAACUGAGACACGGUCCAGACUCCUACGGGAGGCAGCAGUGGGGAAUAUUGGACAAUGGGCGCAAGCCUGAUCCAGCCAUACCGCGUGGGUGAAGAAGGCCUUCGGGUUGUAAAGCCCUUUUGUUGGGAAAGAAAAGCAGCAGGCUAAUACCCCGCUGUUCUGACGGUACCCAAAGAAUAAGCACCGGCUAACUUCGUG
RNAcentral lists this ribosomal RNA (491 nucleotides) under uncultured bacterium. Its description in RNAcentral is "partial 16S ribosomal RNA". It matches the Rfam family "Bacterial small subunit ribosomal RNA", at positions 29 to 507 of the family's 1533-position model. The record is from RNAcentral.